CAUGCCCCUUAUACGCUGGGCUACACACGUGCUACAAUGGGUAGAACAGAGAGUUGCAAAGCCGUGAGGUGAAGCUAAUCUCAGAAAACUAUUCUUAGUUCGGAUUGUACUCUGCAACUCGAGUACAUGAAGUUGGAAUCGCUAGUAAUCGCGAAUCAGCAAUGUCGCGGUGAAUACGUUCUCGGGUCUUGUACACACCGCCCGUCACACCACGAGAGUUGGUUGCACCUGAAGUAGCAGGCCUAACCGUAAGGAGGGAUGCUCCGAGGGUGUGAUUAGCGAUUGGGGUGAAGUCGUAACAAGGUAUCCGUACGGGAACGUGCGGAUGGAUCACCUCCUUUCUAAGGAGAAAAAGUCUUUCUCUAUUCUAUUGGUAAUGUUCUUUACAUUACUUCUGAACAUUGGAAACUAUAUAGUAGAACAAACAAGAAAAAAAUUAACUCUAACAAUUUCUUAGAGUUAGCUGUCAAAAAAUAGAUUAAAAUAAUUAAGGGCACACAAAGGAUGCCUAGGUAGUAAGAGCCGAUGAAGGACGUGGUAAGCUGCGAUAAGCCUAG
RNAcentral lists this small RNA (557 nucleotides) under uncultured Fusobacterium sp. RNAcentral describes it as "bacterial SSU rRNA". The stretch from base 1 to 341 matches the Rfam family "Bacterial small subunit ribosomal RNA", at positions 1194 to 1533 of the family's 1533-position model. Lineage: Bacteria; Fusobacteriati; Fusobacteriota; Fusobacteriia; Fusobacteriales; Fusobacteriaceae. The record is from RNAcentral.